RNAcentral lists this ribosomal RNA (466 nucleotides) under uncultured bacterium. RNAcentral describes it as "partial 16S ribosomal RNA". It matches the Rfam family "Bacterial small subunit ribosomal RNA", at positions 28 to 507 of the family's 1533-position model. The record is from RNAcentral.
GAUGAACGCUGGCGGCGUGCUUAACACAUGCAAGUCGAACGAUGAAGCCCAGCUUUCUGGGUGUAUUAGUGGCGAACGGGUGAGUAACACGUGAGUAACCUGCCCUUAACUCUGGGAUAAGCCUGGGAAACUGGGUCUAAUACAGGAUAGGAGCGUCCACCGCAUGUGGGGUGUUGGAGAGAUUUAUCGGUUUUGGAUGGACUCGCGGCCUAUCAGCUUGUUGGUGAGGUAAUGGCUCACCAAGGCGACGACGGGUAGCCGGCCUGAGAGGGUGACCGGCCACACUGGGACUGAGACACGGCCCAGACUCCUACGGGAGGCAGCAGUGGGGAAUAUUGCACAAUGGGCGCAAGCCUGAUGCAGCGACGCCGCGUGAGGGAUGACGGCCUUCGGGUUGUAAACCUCUUUCAGUAGGGAAGAAGCGAAAGUGACGGUAACUGCAGAAGAAGCACCGGCUAACUACGUG